RNAcentral lists this long non-coding RNA (1861 nucleotides) under Homo sapiens (human). RNAcentral describes it as "F11 antisense RNA 1 (F11-AS1)". The record is from RNAcentral. Lineage: Eukaryota; Metazoa; Chordata; Mammalia; Primates; Hominidae.
AACUGUGCCUCACGUUCCUUCCAACGGCGCCUUCCAUCCCAGCUGGGCGGGGCUUCGCCGUGUUACCUUCUCAACAUGGCGAGCUUGCUGGACGUCACGUCGCCUUCGCCUUUUCCGCUGCGGACUCUGCUCACCGACCUCCUCAGUAGAGCCGGCCCUGCUCACUACCGCGCCCACGUGUCCUGUUGUGCUUCAUUCCCACAGGCCGCAUAAGAAGUGGGUGCCGAGGCUCCCUUCCCACUGCCAUUCCACUGGCCCAGAGGAAGCUUCUGUUGUGUUCAGAUGGGCAGGCACUCUUCCUCGAGAAGUUAAGUAGCCGGAAUAUCUAAAUGCCUCUCCUUGGCGAUUACUCGAUGAGCGCCUGUCCUUCCUCCACUCUUCCAGCAGACCUGCCUUUUGGGGCUGAUGGAAAUAUGCAUAUUAGAUUAUCUGCAGAAACUGGCUCAGCACUACAAGGAGGCUGCCAACAUGAAGACACUGGAUGCGGAAUCAGGAGGAGAUGUAUACAGCUCAGUCUCCAAAGCCAGGACAAGCCAGCUCCAACACACUACUGGCUGAAUCUCACCAAUCGUUAUAGUUUUGUUUUUUGUUUUUUUAAAUGUAUUUAAGCAUUUUUAGGUGUUUUAAAUUUUAUGUGUGUAUUCUAGGAAUAUGUACUCAGAUUCUUUCAUUAGGCAUGUGUUAUUAACAACAUUCAUCUUCUUAAAGGCUGAACCAACUUUGCGCGUUUUAUCAACAGAUAUUCACUGAGCACCUAAUAUUGCCAGGCUGUGCUCAAGGCAGUGGGAUUCAUCAGUGAACAAUACAGACAAAAAUCACUGACCUAAAUGGAGCUUGAAGUUUAUAUCUAAAUCAUUCAAAGAUUCUGUGGUGGAAAAGAAGUUAGAAAUCUUUCAGCUGCAAAACAUAAGCCAAAAUACAACUCACCUUUGGAAUCAGAGAACUUACAGGUUCAUAAAAUUGCGAAGCCCAGAUGUGCACCUGAGGUGAGACUUCGUCCAGCUUCUGUCUGUGUCACUAAUCUUUCCUGCUUUCAGCGGCAUCCCUCGCAGGCCCGUGUUGUUCCCAACUGGUGUUCCCACCUGGCGGCAAACUGGUGACUGUAGUUACAGAUCUUCAACAUCACACUCAGGAGAAGAAGGAGAUUGCUUUUCAGGAGCUCCUGCAAGCCGGAGAAUAAAAGCUCUUAUUUAUUCAGAAGCCCUAAAACAUACCACCUUGGCUAUAGACUAUUUGGACAUUUCUAAGCAAAUCUGUCUGCAAAGGUGCUGAGCUGUGUUGAUCAACUGAAGCCCGUGACGUCUCAUCCUUGCAGUUGGAGCAAAUCUCAAAGGCAAAGCCAGUGUUAAGGAGAGGGAAAUCAGACUUCAUCUUUCGAUGGGAGAAGAAAAGAGUUUGCAACUGUCUCUAUUCUGCCACUGGCAGAGAAUCCAUAGGUUUGCUAAGGAUACAGAGCCACAUUGAAAAGAUAAACCUUGCUAUGCUGGAGAUUACUUAGGUGGGCCAGGAUUUCUUGAAACCAAAACUUUACUGAAUCACCUCUUCACCAUCUGUAUGCCGUGCAUUUGCUGAGAGAUAAAAACAUUCCUGUGAAAGAUGCCCUUCCCUGCACCGGGAGAAAAGAAGCAUUCUGCGACCAGGAGCCAUAGCGAAGAUAAUUCUGUAGAAACAGACCGUGGUAAAAUAAUGCCUAUCUUCCUGCAGCCUCCCCACGUAAUUUAGUUACUUUUCCACAGCUGCUUCUUUUUGCUCAACCUAAUAUCAAAGCAGUUAGGUAUUGCCAUUUCUUUGGGUCUUCAUUUUCUUAUUCAGGCUCCUGUGCCAUGUAAAACCUCUAUUAAAUUUGUAUGAUUUUCUCCUG